Molecule: unclassified non-coding RNA, 255 nt
Filed under: fungal sp.
Lineage: Eukaryota; Fungi
Description: partial internal transcribed spacer region
Rfam family: Eukaryotic small subunit ribosomal RNA (bases 1-46)
Source: RNAcentral
AAGUCGUAACAAGGUCUCCGUUGGUGAACCAGCGGAGGGAUCAUUACAAGAAGCCGAAAGGCUGCUUAAAACCAUCGCGAACCUAUCCAUCAGCGUUGCUUCGGCGGGAGGAGGCCGCGGGGCCGGGGACCCGCACCCUCUCGGGGGUGCGGGGCCCGCCCGCCGGAGGUAUGAAACUCUUCUGCAUCUAUAGUGGAAUCUCUGAGUAAGCAAGCAAAUAAGUCAAAACUUUCAACAACGGAUCUCUUGGUUCUG